UGGGUACCUCCCCUGAAGUGAGGGAUACCGGCGAGAAAUCGCCGACAAUACCGCAUAGGCUCUCUUUCGCGAGAGGGAGAGCAAAGUCUUCCGCAAGGGAGACGCUUUGGGAUGGGCCUGUGGCCGAUUAGCUAGCUGGUGGGGUAACGGCUCACCAGGGCGACGAUCGGUAGCUGGUCUGAGAGGACGAUCAGCCACACUGGGAUUGAGAACGGCCCAG
RNAcentral lists this ribosomal RNA (220 nucleotides) under uncultured bacterium. RNAcentral describes it as "partial 16S ribosomal RNA". It matches the Rfam family "Bacterial small subunit ribosomal RNA", at positions 118 to 334 of the family's 1533-position model. The record is from RNAcentral.